AUGCACCUUUUCCCUUAUCUCCAUCAUUUUCAUCAUUCACUCCCUCAAAUUUUUUGCAACCUCUACCAUACACUCACCUUCAUUCAACUUCAAUCCUCAAUCAUCAUCAACCUACACCUUCUCCAUACAUCAACGAUUCUGCGACCGAAAUUUCUUCAUCUGCAACUGCAUCACACGCGUCUUCAAUCUUCAUCAUUGAUAUGUGAAUCUCAGGCUUCCCUCUCUUGA
Molecule: non-coding RNA, 228 nt
Organism: Vicia faba (fava bean)
Lineage: Eukaryota; Viridiplantae; Streptophyta; Magnoliopsida; Fabales; Fabaceae
Source: the annotation of a GenBank genome assembly